UACGUAGGGGGCAAGCGUUGUCCGGAUUUACUGGGCGUAAAGCGUGCGCAGGCGGUCUAUUAAGACAGGUGUGAAAUCCCCGGGCUUAACCUGGGAACUGCGCUUGUAACUGAUAGGCUUGAGUGUGGCAGAGGGGGGUGGAAUUCCACGUGUAGCAGUGAAAUGCGUAGAGAUGUGGAGGAACACCGAUGGCGAAGGCAGCCCCCUGGGCUAACACUGACGCUCAUGCACGAAAGCGUGGGGAGCAAACAGG
This 253-nucleotide ribosomal RNA is filed under the name uncultured bacterium. RNAcentral's name for it is "partial 16S ribosomal RNA". It matches the Rfam family "Bacterial small subunit ribosomal RNA", at positions 524 to 776 of the family's 1533-position model. The record is from RNAcentral.